RNAcentral lists this RNase P RNA (204 nucleotides) under Amphiamblys sp. WSBS2006. RNAcentral describes it as "Nuclear RNase P". It matches the Rfam family "Nuclear RNase P". Rfam says of the family: Ribonuclease P (RNase P) is a ubiquitous endoribonuclease, found in archaea, bacteria and eukarya as well as chloroplasts and mitochondria. Its best characterised activity is the generation of mature 5'-ends of tRNAs by cleaving the 5'-leader elements of precursor-tRNAs. Lineage: Eukaryota; Fungi; Microsporidia; Amphiacanthidae. The record is from Rfam by way of RNAcentral.
GUUGGAGGAAGCUUCUGCCACGGGCCUCGGCCUGAGGAAAGUCCGAGAGACCAUCCCCACUGCAGAGAUGCAGCUGUCUAGAGGACAGAGCAGUCAACAGAAAGCACUCGUUGGAAAGGCUGCUGAUGGCGUAAAGUGGAAUCCCCUGAAGUGGAAUGCAGAAGGCGGCGUGCCGUAACAAAAUUCGGAUUACUCUCCCCCAAC